This 298-nucleotide unclassified non-coding RNA is filed under the name uncultured fungus. Its description in RNAcentral is "partial contains small subunit ribosomal RNA, internal transcribed spacer 1, and 5.8S ribosomal RNA". The stretch from base 1 to 73 matches the Rfam family "Eukaryotic small subunit ribosomal RNA", at positions 1759 to 1831 of the family's 1831-position model. Lineage: Eukaryota; Fungi. The record is from RNAcentral.
ACAAACUUGGUCAUUUAGAGGAAGUAAAAGUCGUAACAAGGUUUCCGUAGGUGAACCUGCGGAAGGAUCAUUACGCAUAGCGAGAGCCCGAAGACAGUAGCCCUGUCGUAGGGCGCUCGCCCCGAGAAAUCGGGCUACCCUGCCUCUUGAGCACCCUUUUCGUUUCCUCGGCGGGGCCUACCCGCCAGCGAGGACCCCCCCAAAACCUCUUGUAAUGAGCAGUACUCGUCAGUAAUGAUAAUCUAUCACAACUUUCAACAAUGGAUCUCUUGGCUCUGGCAUCGAUGAAGAACGCAGC